UGAUUGUGUGUGGGGUGGAUAGAAAGGGGAGGAUGGUCAUGGGGAGAGGGAAUAUUGAGAGAAUGAGAGAGAGAGGAGGAAGGAGCAUGAUGAGAGUGGUGGCAGAGAGGGGGGACAAACUUAUUAUGGUUUCUCUCUAUUAUUUUUUUACGCCUGUAAGGCUGAAAAUCUAAGCACUAAAGCCCAGUAAAAAUCUAGUCGGGCUAGGUCAAGUGGGCCAGGUUGAUUUUGCACAAGUUUACCGAGAAUAUGCUUAAAUGCAUUACAAACGCAUUUAAUUCAUUAAAACCCUUUAAAUCCAAUUAAUUUUAUCACGUGCAGUUUCUGUGGACAAUAAUGAAUAACCCACAAAGAAUAGUCGACAAAUAGGAAAUUCUGUGGGUGACGGCUGAAAAUUUACUUAGAUGUAUUACAGAUUUAUUUAAUUUGUUAAUAUCCUUUAGCACCGUUAUUAUCUCCAAUGUCCUAUUUUCUAUGGGCUAUGGUUGAAUAAUCCACAGAAGAUGGUUAAUGCUCAUGGAAAUCUCUGUAAAUGACAACUGCCAAUUGGCUGUGAUAGUGGAUAUGUGUAGAUGCAUUAUAAAUGCAUUUAAUUCAUUACUAUUUUUCAGCUUCAACAUAAUUUACAUUGUCUAGUAUUUGUGGGCUUUAGUUGAAUAAACCACCAAAAAUGGUUAAUGCUUGAGUUUUUUUUUUUUUGCAUGUGACAACAGCUAGCACAAACAGUUAAGAUAGCACAUGUUCAUGAGGAACUUUAAUGAUGUCAAGUCUAUCAAGUCCGCCAAUUUCCUCUGUUCAAGCACUUGUAGAAGGCAAUUCAGAAGGUUGGAGAGGGAGGAGAGUUGUUUCAUUUUCAGUUUACUGUAGGAUGUGGCAGGGUAAAAAGGGAAUGUCUGAUGUAAAUGUUAAUCCUAGCCCUAGCCUCUCCAAUGAAAUUCCACAUUCUAAUAGCUCUAGCUCCAGUUUGAAUUCGAGUUUCAGUAUAGAUUCAAGUUCGACUGUCUACUAAUCAAACCAAAAAUGGUAAUGGGCAUGACAGAGAAGAUUGGGUCAGAAUUCAAGAUGAUGAAGGUAUAGUUUCAGUAGCCAAAGAAGAAGCAGAUGUAUAAGAUUUGAUCUGAUCUCAAUUUAUACAAUUUAAUAGGUCUUUACUUCCUUUUUUUCUAUCCUUAUGCUUAGGUGAUCCCAAAUGCCAUUUUGAGGUUGUUUCAAAUCUUCAUUUCCUAUAUUGGGUUGCUAUUUAUCAAUUAACCUUCUCUCUCUUUCUGUCUGUCUCUCUCUAUAUAUAUAUGUGUGGAAUCCAUACAUGCACGUUUAAAUGCACCCCAACUACAGUUAAUGUGAACUGCUUUUCUCCAAAAAAAAGGCAUCUUGUAUUUGCUACCUUAUUACUACUACUACUAUUGCCUUUUUUUCAAGAUAGAAAACACUGGAAAUUUGUUUGUAAUUUAUAUUUUGGAUGUAUAAAUAUCCCAUUAGCAAAGCAUGUUUAUUCUUCAUAAAACCUGUCCUCGGCCUUAACUGCUUUUGUUUUGGCAUAUGUGGAGAGGCUGAACUUUAUUUUCACUGGAAAUAAUAAAUUGUAGGUUUUCAUUUUGCUUAAAAUGAGGUGGAAGUUCAAACACUGAGUUUCAUGCAUAUUCCUAACUUACCUUUUUUUGUUUUUUAAGGAAGCUAGAUUUAAUUUCAGAAGCCUGUAGGACACUUGAAAGGACCUCAUCCAUAUGAACUUGUCUAAAAAGCCUGAUCAGCCAACUUGACCCAACCUAGUCAACCUUAACUGGCUGUGCUAGAUCCAAUCCCAUUAUUCUUGACCUACUUGAUGCAACCUAAGUGAUUU
This 1840-nucleotide long non-coding RNA is filed under the name Phoenix dactylifera (date palm). Its description in RNAcentral is "long non-coding RNA (PDAC_LNC000889)". The record is from RNAcentral. Lineage: Eukaryota; Viridiplantae; Streptophyta; Magnoliopsida; Arecales; Arecaceae.